Molecule: ribosomal RNA, 234 nt
Filed under: Triticum aestivum (bread wheat)
Lineage: Eukaryota; Viridiplantae; Streptophyta; Magnoliopsida; Poales; Poaceae
Description: partial small subunit ribosomal RNA
Source: RNAcentral
AUGUACAGCAUCACCGUGGGCAUGCUUGUGCCGCUGCUGCUCGGCCCCAACAUGUCCUGGAGUGCCAUUAGUGCCGCCCUCACGCUCAUCUUCCUCGACUUCAAGGACGCUCGCCCCUGCCUCGAGAAGCUGUGGGUUAAUGUUGGUGGUUUUGUUCUACUUGGAUGCAUUGGUACCCAUCAUCGAGCGAACGGAUGCAACAGCGGCAACAAGCUCAUGGCUGUGUGCAUCUAA